Molecule: long non-coding RNA, 2383 nt
Filed under: Gossypium barbadense (sea-island cotton)
Lineage: Eukaryota; Viridiplantae; Streptophyta; Magnoliopsida; Malvales; Malvaceae
Description: long non-coding RNA (GBAR_LNC005731)
Source: RNAcentral
UUUACUUGUUCUUUUGAAUCCUAGACUUUAGCAUGCUGACAUUUAUAUAUUUUUUUUCUUUUGUGUUCUUUAGUAUAUGCCAUCUAUUGGGAAUUUUAUUGUUGUUCUCUUUCCCUCUGCGUAUGUAGUUAGUUUCCUAUUAUGGGAAUUUAUUUUGUUGGUUUUGAUUUCUGUGUUUGAUUUUGGCUUUUUGGUUCUUUGAGUCGGAAGAUUGAUGGCCUUUUAUGGGCUAGUUUGAUUUAUAUUGGCAUUUGAUUAUACAUGAUUGGAAAAUGGUUUAAUAUGUAUAGAUUCUCCAAGACUAGAAACUUUAUCCUUGAUGUUUCAAGUUACUGAAUGAUGAACUUGGCUGUCUUGAAACUACAACCUACACAUGAGUGACCUUCGAUACCAUAAACAUGUUUUCGGUUAUCAGUUCAGUGUCUUCUCAUGUGAUCAUUGGUAGAAGCAAUUCCUUGUAGGAUUAGAUAGUUUAGGUUAGAUAACCCGACCUAUAUUGAAUUGCUUGCUCUAUUUAUUGUGUUUUGGUUUCAAUGGUCAAUAUUCUGGGCUUAUUAAACUCUAAAAAUGCGUGUCACCAGUCAUCCUCAUGAAAACAUGCCUCAAAAACACUCUUUGCUUCUGCUGUUAUGCUUGUGCUGCCUUACACUCAAAUAUUUAUGUUACCAAUCUUAGCUGGUCCAGUCACCUUUUCUUCCAUGAUCUUUUGCAUAUUGUGUAACGUUAAUACAUCCUUCCUUAUCCUGCAUUGCUUUUACACUGUUAAAUAGCGGGUAGUAGCUAUCCCUGAAGUUUUCUGGCGAACUUUAGAGUCAUAAAAACCCUGGCUAAAGACUUCCUGAUUCUGAAAUUUGCUGCCUUGCGUUGGAGGGCACCUAUUGAUAUAAUUAAUAAUUACGACCUUUUUUAGGUAAAAUAAUGUGAAUUUGCAUUUAAUUAAAUUGUUUAUUUACCAUAGAAUCUUUUUUUCGCAAGCCCCAUGAUAUAUAUUUUCAUUUCUCAUUAUUUUCUUCUAAGAUCUUUUUAUCAUAAUACUAAAUCUACAGUUAAUGGCUCUCUACCAUCUUAAAAGUUGAAUUAUAGUCUAAAUCACCAUUUUUUUCCCUUUAAUUUCUUCGGUUAAUAAUUAGUACGGUAAACGUGGACCAAUUGCCAUCUUUAAAAUUAGUUGAAAUGACUCUUGAAACCCACAAAAAAGCUGGUACACUUCUCAAAUUUUUAUUUUUAUUUUGGUGGAAAACAUUUCUCAAAAUUUUAACCACGGUGUGACAAGAGAUAUGUAUUUCUUCUUAACUUGGCGAGCUAUACAGACUUCGCCAAUACAAAUUAGUCACGCUUCAUAAUUGUGAAUCGGUAAGCAACUCACCAUUUUUCUAUAUAAAAAAACAUUUGGGCAAAUCAAAUUUAUUAUACAUUUUCAUGACAAGUCUCGCCAGCUGUUAUCAAUUUUAUUAUGUGCAUGCCUCGCCAUUUUCUUUUUAUUUUGGUAUAUAUCAUUAAAGCUUGGCAGUAUACAUACUAUUGGUGCUUAUAAUUUGCUCAUAUCGUUGGCUGUCAUUAGUGAUACCGUAACUGCAUAUUUGUUUUAUUUUCUCCUUAAUCCUCAAGUCAUGCUCUAAGAAAUACACUCAAUUGAAGUUUGGAGCAACUCUAUCCUCUUUUAGUUCUCUGAUCUUAUGAAUGUGCAGAGCAUGUUUGUAAUGUCUCUGUCAUAGUGGCUUCAUCAUAUGAUAUUAAUUACUAUGUUACACAUUGAUGGUUAGAAAGCUGUAAUUAAUUAUUUUUUAUUCAAUUUGAUGGCUCGGAAUAAAUUGUUUGUGGUGACGCAUGCAUAUUCACAUAACAGAUGAUGUGAUUGUUAUACAUAGCUACUACAUGAGUUGAGACCUGAUGAGAGUAAGUUGGAGAAUAGCCUGUGUUAUCCAAAAAUUAGUAUUUUGUUCUAACAAUCACUCUUUUGCAUGCUAACUCAGCAUAUUACAGUGACAUCUGUGUCGGAUCAAUUGCUUGCCGGCUGGAAAAGAAGGAAGGUGGGGCUAUCCAUUUGUACAUCAUGACAUUGGGGUUAUCCAUUUGCCAGCAUAUUACCCUAGACUUCUGUGAUGAGUUAAAUGGAUUUAACUCAAUUGAAUAAUGAUUAAUUCACUUGUUUUAAGUGUUUUUUUUUCAUUUUAUAUUUUUUAUAUAAAAAAUAUAUAUACUUAAAUCACAAAAUGAUAACUAAACUAUACUUAUUUUCCCAAAUUGAUAUUUAAACUUUUUUGUUGUCAUAAGUGGUACUUAAACUAUACCACUUACCCAUUUUAUCUCUGUUGUUAAAGAAAUUCCCUUAACCAAUCAUUUUGUGGCACGAUAUAAUUUUUAACCAAUCUUUUUGCACCGG